RNAcentral lists this ribosomal RNA (427 nucleotides) under actinobacterium BAL200. RNAcentral describes it as "bacterial SSU rRNA". It matches the Rfam family "Bacterial small subunit ribosomal RNA", at positions 40 to 476 of the family's 1533-position model. Lineage: Bacteria; Bacillati; Actinomycetota; Actinomycetes. The record is from RNAcentral.
CGGCGUGCUUAACACAUGCAAGUCGAACGGUGAAAGAGGAAGCUUGCUUCUUCUGGAUCAGUGGCGAACGGGUGAGUAACACGUGAGUAACCUGCCCUUGACUCUGGGAUAAGCGUUGGAAACGACGUCUAAUACCGGAUACGAGCUUCAGCCGCAUGGCUAGGAGCUGGAAAGAACUUCGGUCAAGGAUGGACUCGCGGCCUAUCAGCUAGUUGGUGAGGUAACGGCCCACCAAGGCGACGACGGGUAGCCGGCCUGAGAGGGUGACCGGCCACACUGGGACUGAGACACGGCCCAGACUCCUACGGGAGGCAGCAGUGGGGAAUAUUGCACAAUGGGCGCAAGCCUGAUGCAGCAACGCCGCGUGAGGGACGACGGCCUUCGGGUUGUAAACCUCUUUUAGUAGGGAAGAAGCGAAAGUGACGGU